Molecule: ribosomal RNA, 53 nt
Filed under: uncultured bacterium
Lineage: Bacteria
Description: partial 16S ribosomal RNA
Source: RNAcentral
UACCCUAACACGGGAAACGGGUGGCCCAACGGUAGUGAUUCAAUGAUGGGGUG